AGCAUGUUAGCUCAGGGGAAGAGCGCCGGGCUCAUAACCCGGAGGUACGUUUCACCGCCACCAAAUUUGAUAAAAAAUUCAUCAAACUAACUCUCAAUAGGACCCUGGAUCGAAACCAGGACAUGCUA
Penicillium griseofulvum is the source of this 128-nucleotide transfer RNA. It matches the Rfam family "tRNA". Rfam says of the family: Transfer RNA (tRNA) molecules are approximately 80 nucleotides in length. NCBI's taxonomy places the organism in Eukaryota, Fungi, Ascomycota, Eurotiomycetes, Eurotiales, Aspergillaceae. The record is from Rfam.